RNAcentral lists this ribosomal RNA (428 nucleotides) under uncultured archaeon. RNAcentral describes it as "bacterial SSU rRNA". It matches the Rfam family "Archaeal small subunit ribosomal RNA", at positions 474 to 903 of the family's 1478-position model. The record is from RNAcentral.
UACCAGCUCUCCGAGUGGUAGGGAUGAUUAUUGGGCUUAAAGCGUCCGUAGCCGGCUUAGCAAGUCUCCUGUUAAAUUCAGCGACCUAAUCGUUGAGCCGCGGGAGACACUACUAGGCUAGGAGGCGGGAGAGGCCGACGGUAUUCUCGGGGUAGGGGUGAAAUCCUAUAAUCCCGGGAGGACCACCAGUGGCGAAGGCUGUCGGCUAGAACGCGCUCGACGGUGAGGGACGAAAGCUGGGGGAGCGAACCGGAUUAGAUACCCGGGUAGUCCCAGCUGUAAACGAUGCGGGCUAGGUGUUGGGGUGGCUACGAGCCACUUCAGUGCCGCAGGGAAGCCGUUAAGCAUGCCGCCUGGGAGUACGAUCGCAAGGUUGAAACUUAAAGGAAUUGGCGGGGGAGCACCACCAGGCGUGAAGCCUGCGGUUU